GUGACUGCUACCUUUUGUAUAAUGGGUCAGCGACUUAUUGUCAGUGGCAAGGUUAACCGAAUAGGGGAGCCGUAGAGAAAUCGAGUCCGAACAGGGCGACAGUCGCUGGGUGUAGACCCGAAACCAAGUGAUCUACCCAUGAGCAGGUUGAAGGUGCGGUAACACGAACUGGAGGACCGAACCCGUGAAUGUUGAAAAAUUCUGGGAUGACCUGUGGAUAGGGGUGAAAGGCUAAACAAACCGGGAAAUAGCUGGUUCUCCGCGAAAACUAUUGAGGUAGUGCCUCGGACGAACACCGAUGGGGGUAGAGCACUGGAUGAGUGAGGGGGUCGCGAGAUCUACCGAGCUUAACCAAACUCCGAAUACCAUGAGUACAGCUUUGGCAGACAGACACCGGUGCUAGUCCGUAUCGUCAAAAGGGAAACAGCCUAGACCACCAGCUAAGGCCCCUAAAUCGUGCACUAAGUGGGAAAGCAUGUGGGAUUUCCAAAAAAGGAUGUGGCAGGUUUGACAGCAGGAUUGUUAGCUUAGAAGGCAGCCAUCCUUUAAAGAAAGCGUAACAGCUCACUGGUCUAAAUAAGAGAUCCUGCGGCGAAGAUGUAACGGGGCUAAAGUGAUGCACCGAAGCUUAGGGUUCAGUCUUUGACUGAGCGGUAGCGGAGCGUUCCGUAAGCCUGUGAAGGUCAACCGUGAGGUCGCUGGAGGUAUCAGAAGUGCCGAAUGCUGACAUGAGUAGCGAUUAUGCGGGUGAAAAGCCCCUCGCCGAAAUUCCAAGGGUUCCUGUCCAACGUUAAUCGACACUGGGUUGAGUCGAUCCUAAGGCGAGGCCGAAAGGCGUAGUCGAUGGGAACCACGUUAAUAUUCGUGGGCCUGGUGGUGUGUGACGGAUGCCGUAAAUUGUUCGGGCUUAUUGGAUUGCUCCGGGCAGUGAAGGGGUCCCAGGAAAUAGCCCCACCGUAUAGACCGUACCCGAAACCGACACAGGUGGAAUGGUAGAGUAUACCAAGGCGUUUGAGAGAAGUGUCCUGAAGGAACUCGGCAAAUUGCCUCCGUACCUUCGGAAGAAGGAGGCCCCAUCUCAAGGCAACUUUUGAUGGGGGGCACAGGCCAGGGGGUAGCGACUGUUUAGCAAAAACACAGGUCCGUGCGAAGUCGUAAGACGAUGUAUACGGACUGACUCCUGCCCGGUGCCGGAAGGUUAAAAGGAGGUGUGCAAGCACUGAACUUAAGCCCCAGUAAACGGCGGUGGUAACUAUAACCAGUCCUAAGGUAGCGAAAUUCCUUGUCGCAUAAGUUCGCGCCUGCACGAAUGGUGUAACGACUUGC
RNAcentral lists this ribosomal RNA (1326 nucleotides) under Solanum melongena (eggplant). Its description in RNAcentral is "bacterial LSU rRNA". It matches the Rfam family "Bacterial large subunit ribosomal RNA", at positions 593 to 2012 of the family's 2925-position model. Lineage: Eukaryota; Viridiplantae; Streptophyta; Magnoliopsida; Solanales; Solanaceae. The record is from RNAcentral.